GACGAACGCUGGCGGCGUGCCUAAUACAUGCGAGUAGAACGCUGAAGGAGGAGCUUGCUUCUCUGGAUGAGUUGCGAACGGGUGAGUAACGCGUAGGUAACCUGCCUGGUAGCGGGGGAUAACUAUUGGAAACGAUAGCUAAUACCGCAUAAUAGCAGUUGUUGCAUGACAACUGUUUGAAAGGUGCAAUUGCACCACUACCAGAUGGACCUGCGUUGUAUUAGCUAGUUGGUGGGGUAACGGCUCACCAAGGCGACGAUACAUAGCCGACCUGAGAGGGGGAUCGGCCACACUGGGACUGAGACACGGCCCAGACUCCUACGGGAGGCAGCAGUAGGGAAUCUUCGGCAAUGGACGGAAGUCUGACCGAGCAACGCCGCGGGAGUGAAGAAGGUUUUCGGAUCGUAAAGCUCUGUUGUAAGAGAAGAACGAGUGUGAGAGUGGAAAGUUCACACUGUGACGGUAUCUUACCAGAAAGGGACGGCUAACUACGUG
RNAcentral lists this ribosomal RNA (495 nucleotides) under uncultured bacterium. Its description in RNAcentral is "partial 16S ribosomal RNA". It matches the Rfam family "Bacterial small subunit ribosomal RNA", at positions 28 to 507 of the family's 1533-position model. The record is from RNAcentral.